UACGUAGGGGGCAAGCGUUGUCCGGAAUUCUCGGGCGUAAAGAGCGUGUAGGCGGUCCGGUAAGUCAGCUGUGAAAGUCAAGGGCUCAACCCUUGAAAGCCGGUUGAUACUGUCGGGCUAGAGUCCGGAAGAGGCGAGUGGAAUUCCCGGUGUAGCGGUGAAAUGCGCAGAUAUCGGGAGGAACACCAAUGGCGAAGGCAGCUCGCUGGGACGGUACUGACGCUGAGACGCGAAAGCGUGGGGAGCAAACAGG
Molecule: ribosomal RNA, 253 nt
Filed under: uncultured bacterium
Lineage: Bacteria
Description: partial 16S ribosomal RNA
Rfam family: Bacterial small subunit ribosomal RNA
Source: RNAcentral